CGCGGAGUGGAGAAGUUGGCAUCUCACAAGGCUCAUAACCUUGGGAUCACUGGUUCGAGUCCAGUCUCCGCCACCA
This 76-nucleotide transfer RNA is filed under the name Campylobacter lari. Its description in RNAcentral is "tRNA-Met". It matches the Rfam family "tRNA". Rfam says of the family: Transfer RNA (tRNA) molecules are approximately 80 nucleotides in length. Their secondary structure includes four short double-helical elements and three loops (D, anti-codon, and T loops). Lineage: Bacteria; Pseudomonadati; Campylobacterota; Epsilonproteobacteria; Campylobacterales; Campylobacteraceae. RNAcentral also lists the same sequence under 1 other name. The record is from RNAcentral.